Molecule: ribosomal RNA, 423 nt
Filed under: uncultured Glomeromycotina
Lineage: Eukaryota; Fungi; Glomeromycota
Description: SSU rRNA
Rfam family: Eukaryotic small subunit ribosomal RNA
Source: RNAcentral
CGGUACGUACUGGCAUCGUCGGUUUCUCCCUUCUGACGAACCAUGAUGUCAUUUAUUUGGUGUUGUGGGGAAUCAGGACUGUUACUUUGAAAAAAUUAGAGUGUUUAAAGCAGGCUCACGCUUGAAUACAUUAGCAUGGAAUAAUGAAAUAGGACGUUUGAUUCUAUUUUGUUGGUUUCUAGGAUCGACGUAAUGAUUAAUAGGGAUAGUUGGGGGCAUUAGUAUUCGAUUGUCAGAGGUGAAAUUCUUGGAUUUAUUGAAGACUAACUACUGCGAAAGCAUUUGCCAAGGAUGUUUUCAUUAAUCAAGAACGAAAGUUAGGGGAUCGAAGACGAUCAGAUACCGUCGUAGUCUUAACCAUAAACUAUGCCGACUAGGGAUCGGAUGAUGUUAAUUUUUUAAUGACUCAUUCGGCGCCUUACG